GGGGUCGUAGCUCAGCUGGGAGAGCACCUGCCUUGCACGCAGGGGUCAGGAGUUCGAUCCUCCUCGGCUCCACCA
RNAcentral lists this transfer RNA (75 nucleotides) under Legionella pneumophila. RNAcentral's name for it is "tRNA-Ala". It matches the Rfam family "tRNA". Rfam says of the family: Transfer RNA (tRNA) molecules are approximately 80 nucleotides in length. Their secondary structure includes four short double-helical elements and three loops (D, anti-codon, and T loops). The record is from RNAcentral. Lineage: Bacteria; Pseudomonadati; Pseudomonadota; Gammaproteobacteria; Legionellales; Legionellaceae.